Non-coding RNA from Podarcis lilfordi (Lilford's wall lizard), 75 nucleotides. The record is from the annotation of a GenBank genome assembly. Lineage: Eukaryota; Metazoa; Chordata; Lepidosauria; Squamata; Lacertidae.
GCUGGGAUAGCUGAGUUGGCAAGAGCACGAGAUUCUUAAUCUCAUGGUUGUCAAGUUCGAGUCCUGAGUUGGGCA